This 25-nucleotide unclassified non-coding RNA is filed under the name Mus musculus (house mouse). RNAcentral's name for it is "oocyte_clustered_small_RNA3966". Lineage: Eukaryota; Metazoa; Chordata; Mammalia; Rodentia; Muridae. The record is from RNAcentral.
UCUGUUGGCCCACCUCGUCCAGGAA